This 723-nucleotide ribosomal RNA is filed under the name Triticum aestivum (bread wheat). RNAcentral describes it as "partial small subunit ribosomal RNA". Lineage: Eukaryota; Viridiplantae; Streptophyta; Magnoliopsida; Poales; Poaceae. The record is from RNAcentral.
AUGAGAUCCCUGUCAGAUGAACUUGCUAUGGCAGGGAAACCCCUCCUAGAGGAAGAACUAAUCUCCUUCAUAGUUGCUGGCCUUGACAUGGAUUAUCAACCACUUAUCUCAGCCCUAGAUGUCCGCACCGAACAACUAUCUGUUGAUGAUCUCUUCGGCAUGGUGGCGAACUUUGAUCAGCGCAUGGAGCUGUUCCAGGGCACAGGCGCCGGGGCUUUCAAGUCCUCGGCCAACAGUGCCUCCCGGGGACGCGGCGACGCUCCCAAGGGCGGUUACCGCAACUCACCCAAGGGUGGAAACGGCAGCGACAACAGCAACUACAACAACGGUGGCGGCGGCUACCGCGGCAACAACAGCGGAGGUGGUGGUGGCGGCUACAACCAGGGUGGCGGUGGUGGCUACCGCGGCUCUGGUGGUGGCUACAACGGCGGCUACAACGGCGGCGGUGGCGGGGGCUACUACAACAACAAUGGCCCCCCCCCCGCCAUAACUACAACAACAAUCAAGGUUGUCAAGGCGGACGCUUCACCGGGUAUGAAGAAUAUGAAAACAAGUGUCAGAUAUGCAAAAAAAAUAACCACAUUGCAAAAGAGUGUAAGUGGCACUAUGCAGAGGACAACUCUCAGAGGAGACGAGUUGCAGCUGCAGCAGAUACCUCAUAUGGAGCAGAUUCCAACUGGUAUCUUGACUCCGGUGCAAAUGAGAACAUCACCUCCGAGCUAG